RNAcentral lists this ribosomal RNA (253 nucleotides) under uncultured bacterium. RNAcentral's name for it is "partial 16S ribosomal RNA". It matches the Rfam family "Bacterial small subunit ribosomal RNA", at positions 524 to 776 of the family's 1533-position model. The record is from RNAcentral.
GAAGAAGGGUGCAAGCGUGAAUGGGAAUUACUGGGCGUAAAGCGUGCGUAGGCGGCCUUGUAAGUCGGAUGUGAAAGCCCCGGGCUCAACCUGGGAAUGGCAUUCGAGACUGCGGGGCUGGAGUUUGGGAGAGGGUGGUGGAAUUCCCGGUGUAGCGGUGAAAUGCGUAGAGAUCGGGAGGAACAUCAGUGGCGAAGGCGGCCUCCUGGCCUAAAACUGACGCUGAGGCACGAAAGCGUGGGGAGCAAACAGG